GUGAAGUUUCAUUAAAUGAACAGAAUGACUGUCUGGUUCAUAAUGUGGACAGCACUCUUGGUAAUGGCUACAGAAGCUGUUCCAUGCCAUUACACCCAUCACUGUUCAGACUGUGACAGAGAGACAGGGGAUUGCCUCUCUGAGUGUGACACUGGGUAUUAUGAUCGACAAUGUAAGUCUACCUGCAGCCGGAACUGUAGGAAUAACAAAUGCGUGCUGUCAGAACAUGCUAGCGAUAACUGUACUGAUGGUUGUGUGCCAGGUUAUUCUGGCAUUGGGUGCAACAUACCAUGUG
Molecule: long non-coding RNA, 295 nt
Filed under: Haliotis rubra (blacklip abalone)
Lineage: Eukaryota; Metazoa; Mollusca; Gastropoda; Lepetellida; Haliotidae
Description: uncharacterized LOC124268198, transcript variant X2
Source: RNAcentral